Molecule: ribosomal RNA, 383 nt
Filed under: uncultured bacterium
Lineage: Bacteria
Description: bacterial SSU rRNA
Rfam family: Bacterial small subunit ribosomal RNA
Source: RNAcentral
AUUGAACGCUGGCGGCAUGCUUUACACAUGCAAGUCGAACGGCAGCGGGGGCUUCGGCCUGCCGGCGAGUGGCGAACGGGUGAGUAAUGCAUCGGAACGUGCCCAUGUCGUGGGGGAUAACGUAGCGAAAGUUACGCUAAUACCGCAUACGCCCUGAGGGGGAAAGCGGGGGAUUCUUCGGAACCUCGCGCGAUUGGAGCGGCCGAUGUCGGAUUAGCUAGUAGGUGAGGUAAAGGCUCACCUAGGCGACGAUCCGUAGCGGGUCUGAGAGGAUGAUCCGCCACACUGGGACUGAGACACGGCCCAGACUCCUACGGGAGGCAGCAGUGGGGAAUUUUGGACAAUGGGCGCAAGCCUGAUCCAGCCAUGCCGCGUGAGUGAAG